Long non-coding RNA from Neopsephotus bourkii (Bourke's parrot), 1079 nucleotides. RefSeq lists it as uncharacterized. The transcript has 3 exons. Lineage: Eukaryota; Metazoa; Chordata; Aves; Psittaciformes; Psittacidae. The record is from RefSeq and is a predicted model, not a curated record.
UUCUAGACGUAUCCACCACUCCUCUGCAUGCACGGACACUCAGCAGAGCUCUGUAUGCAGAGCAGGUCCAGCCACACAACCCAGAAGUGAGGGAAUAGUAUCCAGUUCUCUUGAAUCCCAAGUACUCUAUCCACUCGAUCACUAGUUAAGGGAGUAGGCAGCAUUAUUGGUUUGUCUUUUGCUGGCCACAGUUUGGGAAGCAGGACUGACAUACAUUUUAAGCUCCAGAAGCAGGUUCAGGCUUGUAAAACCCAGUACCCUAUUUUUUAGGUAACUCAUUUCCUCUAUAUUGUCUAGGUGCACUGAGGGCUCCACUUAUUGGCACAGCACUUAGGUAAUGCUCACAACUGUGUGUUGUACUUAGUCUCUUUAGUGGCUCUAGAGCCUUUGUGCUUUCUACAGGACUGUUCAACAAUUAUCCCUUUGUACAACCUUAAAUAAUUCCUCUGUACAUAGAGUUUACGGCACUUCUAGUCCUGUAGAUACUCAAGUACCUUUAGCAAUUUAAUUCAAGGCCAUUGCACUAAUGGUAAAGGGAGGAGGGAAUAAAGUUGAUGUAGAGCAGUGACCAUCAUUCCUUCAAACAGCUUGGAAACAGUUUUACCAGGGUUGAGCAGCAGCUGUGGGCCCUGAGUGCUCAUCAUGGUCCUGAUGAGCUGCUCCUGUGCCCUCUCAGCACCCUCACCUGUGGCCCAGGAGCUCUAUGUAAGUUGAAGGUUGGGGCUAGCUCUGGUCUUUGAUGAGUUGGAGUUGUCGAGGGGCUUCUGGUCUGGCUUUGGGCUUGCCCCUGCUCCAGAGCUGCCGGGUGGUCAGCUGUGGGGCUGCUGGCUGAAGGUGUUUCUGCAAGACAUGCUCAGCUCUCCUUGCUCAGAAGGUGACUUGCCUCGUGAAUGGCCAGUUAUGAAACUGCCCUCCAUGCCUUCAGCUAGGAGUAUCACGGAGGAGCAGGAGGAGCAGCUCCGAGGCGAGUGAGAGAGAACACUGAUACUGGGUUCGGGGCUGGCAGAAAACGCGUGGCAUGCCACGUUCAUUUCCAGGAAUGUGGCUCCGGGCGCCCCUGACCGCGGGUCCCACCCGGA